RNAcentral lists this ribosomal RNA (1343 nucleotides) under uncultured bacterium. RNAcentral describes it as "16S ribosomal RNA". It matches the Rfam family "Bacterial small subunit ribosomal RNA", at positions 28 to 1378 of the family's 1533-position model. The record is from RNAcentral.
GACGAACGCUGGCGGCGUGCUUAACACAUGCAAGUCGAACGGAAAGGCCCUGCUUUUGUGGGGUGCUCGAGUGGCGAACGGGUGAGUAACACGUGAGUAACCUGCCCUUGACUUUGGGAUAACUUCAGGAAACUGGGGCUAAUACCGGAUAGGAGCUCCUGCUGCAUGGUGGGGGUUGGAAAGUUUCGGCGGUUGGGGAUGGACUCGCGGCUUAUCAGCUUGUUGGUGGGGUAGUGGCUUACCAAGGCUUUGACGGGUAGCCGGCCUGAGAGGGUGACCGGCCACAUUGGGACUGAGAUACGGCCCAGACUCCUACGGGAGGCAGCAGUGGGGAAUAUUGCACAAUGGGCGGAAGCCUGAUGCAGCAACGCCGCGUGCGGGAUGACGGCCUUCGGGUUGUAAACCGCUUCCGCCUGUGACGAAGCGUGAGUGACGGUAAUGGGUAAAGAAGCACCGGCUAACUACGUGCCAGCAGCCGCGGUGAUACGUAGGGUGCGAGCGUUGUCCGGAUUUAUUGGGCGUAAAGGGCUCGUAGGUGGUUGAUCGCGUCGGAAGUGUAAUCUUGGGGCUUAACCCUGAGCGUGCUUUCGAUACGGGUUGACUUGAGGAAGGUAGGGGAGAAUGGAAUUCCUGGUGGAGCGGUGGAAUGCGCAGAUAUCAGGAGGAACACCAGUGGCGAAGGCGGUUCUCUGGGCCUUUCCUGACGCUGAGGAGCGAAAGCGUGGGGAGCGAACAGGCUUAGAUACCCUGGUAGUCCACGCUGUAAACGGUGGGUACUAGGUGUGGGGUCCAUUCCACGGGUUCCGUGCCGUAGCUAACGCUUUAAGUACCCCGCCUGGGGAGUACGGCCGCAAGGCUAAAACUCAAAGGAAUUGACGGGGCCCCGCACAAGCGGCGGAGCAUGCGGAUUAAUUCGAUGCAACGCGUAGAACCUUACCUGGGUUUGACAUGGAUCGGGAGUGCUCAGAGAUGGGUGUGCCUCUUUUGGGGUCGGUUCACAGGUGGUGCAUGGCUGUCGUCAGCUCGUGUCGUGAGAUGUUGGGUUAAGUCCCGCAACGAGCGCAACCCUUGUUCACUGUUGCCAGCACGUUAUGGUGGGGACUCAGUGGAGACCGCCGGGGUCAACUCGGAGGAAGGUGGGGAUGACGUCAAGUCAUCAUGCCCCUUAUGUCCAGGGCUUCACGCAUGCUACAAUGGCUGGUACAGAGAGUGGCGAGCCUGUGAGGGUGAGCGAAUCUCGGAAAGCCGGUCUCAGUUCGGAUUGGGGUCUGCAACUCGACCUCAUGAAGUCGGAGUCGCUAGUAACCGCAGAUCAGCAACGCUGCGGUGAAUACGUUCCCGGG